Molecule: ribosomal RNA, 690 nt
Filed under: uncultured fungus
Lineage: Eukaryota; Fungi
Description: eukaryotic LSU rRNA
Rfam family: Eukaryotic large subunit ribosomal RNA (bases 473-690)
Source: RNAcentral
CCCGUGGUAUUCAACCAAACCCGCUCGUGCUAUUUGGAUCAAAAAAACAAACAAAAUUUUUAACGAUAAUAAUUUAAACAAACUUUCAACAACGGAUCUCUUGGCAUCUCGCAUCGAUGAAGAACGCAGCGAAAUGCGAUAAGUAGUGCGAAUUGCAGAACUUUGUGAACCAUCGAAUCUUUGAACGCGAAUUGCGCCUUCUUUCGGAAGGCAUGUCUGUUUGAGGGCACCAUUUAACAAAUAAUGUGCGCGUCGUUUUUACGAGCGAUGUGCACACGUUGAUGAGCUUUUCCGAAAAAACCCGGUUUUUUUGGUGGCGCAUAAUGAACAGCGUGGGCUUUUUCUUCGAUUCUCGUGUAGUAAAUGUUCAACGCUUGGGUUGAGAAAAAGUGCGUGCCGCGCAAUGGGUGUGGCGAAUUUUACCCCUGCCCCAAUGCCACUCUUUCCCUGCGAAAGAACAAUCUUUUAUUUAGGGCCUCAAAUCAGACAAGAGUACCCGCUGAACUUAAGCAUAUCAAUAAGCGGAGGAAAAGAAACUAACAAGGAUUCCCCUAGUAACGGCGAGUGAAGCGGGAACAGCUCAAAUUUUAAAUCUGGCUGCUUUGUAGUCCGAGUUGUAAUUUGAAGGAGUCUUGCCGCUGGCAAAACGAUGGCACAAGUCCUCUGGAACGGGGCAUCGUAGAGAGUGAG